GAUCAUGGCUCAGGAUGAACGCUAGCGGCAGGCUUAAUACAUGCAAGUCGUGGGGCAGCAGGUUUGUAGCAAUACAGAUGCUGGCGACCGGCAAACGGGUGCGGAACACGUACAGAACCUUCCUUUGAGCGGGGAAUAGCCCAGAGAAAUUUGGAUUAAUACCCCAUAGUAUAAUGAAGUGGCAUCACUUUAUUAUUAAAGAUUUAUCACUCGAAGAUGGCUGUGCGGCUGAUUAGGUAGUUGGCGGGGUAAAGGCCCACCAAGCCUGCGAUCAGUAACUGGUGUGAGAGCACGACCAGUCACACGGGCACUGAGACACGGGCCCGACUCCUACGGGAGGCAGCAGUAAGGAAUAUUGGUCAUUGGAGGCAACUCUGAACCAGCCAUGCCGCGUGGAGGAUGAAGGUCCUCUGGAUUGUAAACUUCUUUAUAUGGGACGAAAAAAGGCUUUUCUAAGUCGUCUGACGGUACCAUAUGAAUAAGCACCGGCUAACUCCGUG
This 500-nucleotide ribosomal RNA is filed under the name uncultured bacterium. Its description in RNAcentral is "bacterial SSU rRNA". It matches the Rfam family "Bacterial small subunit ribosomal RNA", at positions 15 to 507 of the family's 1533-position model. The record is from RNAcentral.